GGCGGCGGAAGAUAACCCAAAAGGGAUUCCUUCAGUAAUGGCGAAUGAACGGGGAAAAGCUCAGCAAAGAAAUCAGGGACCCCGUCCUUGAGUUGUGGACUUGAGAGGUAUUGCCAAUGGUGGCGCAGGUGCGGGCCUCUUGGAAAAGGGCACCACAGAGGGUGUGAGUCCUGUUUGUCAUCUGUAGUCCGCCAUGUACGGCGUGCCUCCUCAGAGUCACGUUCCUUGGAAUUGGAGCGCGAAGGUGGUGGUGGCUUUCAUCUCAAGCUAAAUAUGGGUUCGAGACCGAUAGCAAACAAGUACCAUGAGGGAAAAUUGAAAAGAGCUUUGGAAAGAGAGUUAAAAGUGCCCGAACUUGCUGAUAGGGAAGCGAAGGGAGCUGACGUUGCUUGGUGACAUUUUCCGCGCAAGUGUAGGAUGGGUUCUGAUUGCGAUGUGCGUAGUGCUUCUUGCCGUGCGUGUCGAUGCCAAGCAACAAGUGGGGAGAGCACCAGGGAUAUGAUUGUUCUGUCCCCGGGUGGACGAAGGUGCCUGGUCGCAUCCAUUUGUGGGCUGAAACAAGUGGUGGCUGGUUGCAGCGCUCCAUAACUGCCAGGCAGUUGGGGUGUAGCCCUGAUACGCAGACGAGGACAAAGUGCUUCUGUUCGACCCGUCUUGAAACACGGACCAAGGAGUCUGACACUCAUGCAAGCUCGCGGGUGGGUAAACUUGUUCGCGUAAUUAAGGUGUCUGUUGUGAUUUUUGCACCAACGCCCGACCAAUCAAUUGAGAGAGGUUUGAGUGUGAGCAUUUCUGUCAGGACCCGAAAGAUGGUGAACUAUGCUUGAGAAGGGUAAGUUCAGGGGAAACUCUGAUUGAGGCUCGUAGCGAUACUGACGUGCAAAUCGUUCGUCAUACUUGGGUAUAGGGGCGAA
RNAcentral lists this ribosomal RNA (914 nucleotides) under Prorocentrum lima. RNAcentral describes it as "eukaryotic LSU rRNA". It matches the Rfam family "Eukaryotic large subunit ribosomal RNA", at positions 49 to 927 of the family's 3401-position model. The record is from RNAcentral. Lineage: Eukaryota; Dinophyceae; Prorocentrales; Prorocentraceae.